Non-coding RNA from Paramarasmius palmivorus, 81 nucleotides. The record is from the annotation of a GenBank genome assembly. Lineage: Eukaryota; Fungi; Basidiomycota; Agaricomycetes; Agaricales; Marasmiaceae.
GGGCACUUGGCACAGUUGGUAGCGCGCACGCUUCGCAUCUUCGACUGCGUGAGGUCGUGGGUUCAAUUCCCACAGUGUCCA